AACGCGAAGAACCUUACCCAGACUUGACAUCCAGAGAACUUCCCAGAGAUGGGAGGGUGCCCGCAAGGGAGCUCUGAGACAGGUGCUGCAUGGCUGUCGUCAGCUCGUGUCGUGAGAUGUUGGGUUAAGUCCCGCAACGAGCGCAACCCUUAUCUUCAGUUGCUACCAUUUAGUUGAGCACUCUGACGAAACCGCCUCGGAUAACAGGGAGGAAGGUGGGGAUGACGUCAAGUCCUCAUGGCCUUUAUGUCCAGGGCUACACACGUGCUACAAUGGCCGGUACAAACCGCUGCAAACCCGCGAGGGGGAGCUAAUCGGAAAAAGCCGGCCUCAGUUCGGAUUGGAGUCUGCAACUCGACUCCAUGAAGCUGGAAUCGCUAGUAAUCGUGGAUCAGCAUGCCACGGUGAAUACGUUCCCGGGCCUUGUACACACGAGACGAC
This 441-nucleotide ribosomal RNA is filed under the name uncultured bacterium. RNAcentral describes it as "bacterial SSU rRNA". It matches the Rfam family "Bacterial small subunit ribosomal RNA", at positions 958 to 1398 of the family's 1533-position model. The record is from RNAcentral.